GGGGUUGUAGCUCAGUUGGGAGAGCGCAUGACUGGCAGUCAUGAGGUCAGGGGUUCGAUCCCCCUCAGCUCCACCA
RNAcentral lists this transfer RNA (76 nucleotides) under Deltaproteobacteria bacterium. Its description in RNAcentral is "tRNA-Ala". It matches the Rfam family "tRNA". From Rfam's summary of the family: Transfer RNA (tRNA) molecules are approximately 80 nucleotides in length. Their secondary structure includes four short double-helical elements and three loops (D, anti-codon, and T loops). RNAcentral also lists the same sequence under 1 other name. The record is from RNAcentral. Lineage: Bacteria; Pseudomonadati; Myxococcota; Myxococcia.